Molecule: transfer RNA, 271 nt
Filed under: Chinchilla lanigera (long-tailed chinchilla)
Lineage: Eukaryota; Metazoa; Chordata; Mammalia; Rodentia; Chinchillidae
Description: lncRNA (ENSCLAG00000024846.1)
Source: RNAcentral
AGCAUCUGGACGCUGGACCCUGCUCAGAGUGUCCUGGAUAUGAGCUGCCCAUCCAAAAAAUGAGGGUGCUGGGGAUUAAACCCAAGGCCUGUGAAUGAUAAGCACACACUGUACCACCCAGCUGCACCCUAACCCCUAGGACUGCUUUGUGGUGCAAUAUACCACUUUUUCUUCACUAGAUAAAGAAAUUUCACCUGGAUUUAACAGAAAGGAGGAUCCGAAGUCUGGCUUCAAUGAACAUGAUUUGGAAUACUCAGUGAGUGUGUCCCGC